UACGGAGGAUGCAAGCGUUAUCCGGAAUUACUGGGCGUAAAGCGUGCGCAGGCGGUUUUGUAAGCCAGAUGUGAAAUCCCCGGGCUUAACCUGGGAAUGGCAUUUGGGACUGCAAGGCUCGAGUGCGGCAGAGGAGACUGGAAUCCCUGGUGUAGCAGUGAAAUGCGUAGAUAUCAGGAGGAACACCGAUGGCGAAGGCAGGUCUCUGGGCUGACACUGACGCUCAUGCACGAAAGCGUGGGGAGCAAACAGG
This 253-nucleotide ribosomal RNA is filed under the name uncultured bacterium. Its description in RNAcentral is "partial 16S ribosomal RNA". It matches the Rfam family "Bacterial small subunit ribosomal RNA", at positions 524 to 776 of the family's 1533-position model. The record is from RNAcentral.